UGGUCCUACGGGACGCAGCAGUCGGGAAUAUUGCGCAAUGGAGGAAACUCUGACGCAGUGACGCCGCGUAUAGGAAGAAGGUUUUCGGAUUGUAAACUAUUGUCGUUAGGGAAGAAAAAAAGACAGUACCUAAGGAGGAAGCUCCGGCUAACUACGUGCCAGCAGCCGCGGUAAUACGUAGGGAGCGAGCGUUAUCCGGAUUUAUUGGGUUUAAAGGGUGCGCAGGCGGUCUGUUAAGUCAGCGGUCAAAGCCCGGGGCUCAACCCCGGCCCGCCGUUGAAACUGGCAGUCUCGAGUUGGAGAGA
Molecule: ribosomal RNA, 305 nt
Filed under: uncultured bacterium
Lineage: Bacteria
Description: bacterial SSU rRNA
Rfam family: Bacterial small subunit ribosomal RNA
Source: RNAcentral